RNAcentral lists this ribosomal RNA (1070 nucleotides) under Thelohanellus sp. HSSZOO-01/17. RNAcentral describes it as "SSU rRNA". It matches the Rfam family "Eukaryotic small subunit ribosomal RNA", at positions 1 to 936 of the family's 1831-position model. Lineage: Eukaryota; Metazoa; Cnidaria; Myxozoa; Bivalvulida; Myxobolidae. The record is from RNAcentral.
CGACGUACGAACACCACCCGGCGGGGGGGCGCUGCAGUGCGUAUACGCUCUUUUAAAGAUUAAGACCAUGCAUGUGCUAAGUUCAUACAUUUCAAAUGUGAGACUGCGGACGGCUCAGUAUAUCAGUUAUAAUCUGCUCGAUUGUCAAGGUUAUUGGAUAACCGUGGGAAAUCUAGAGCUAAUACAUGCACCCCGGGGCGGGUCCCCUCGCCCCUUGCAUUUAUUAGAACAACACCAACAGUGUGCCCCGCACACUUGGCGAAUCUAGAUAACUGUGCAGAUCGUAUGGCCUCGAGCUGACGACAUUUCGAUUGAAUUUCUGCCCUAUCAACUGUGUUGGCAGUGUAGUGGACUGCCAAGGUUAUAACGGGUAACGGGGAAUCAGGGUUCGAUUCCGGAGAGGGAGCCUGAGAAACGGCUACCACAUCCAAGGAAGGCAGCAGGCGCGCAAAUUACCCAAUCCAGACACUGGGAGGUGGUGACGAAAAGUACCGAAUGGCGGCCAAUGGUCGCUAGUUUGGAAUGAAGACAAUUUAAGCAAUUGAAUUGAGUAACGACUGGAGGGCAAGUCUGGUGCCAGCAGCCGCGGUAAUUCCAGCUCCAGUAGCGUAUCUCAAAGUUGCUGCGCUUAAAACGCUCGUAGUUGGAUCAUGCACUACGUCCUGGUGUACCAUGGUGCUCGCGCAACAAACCCUGCGACCCAGGUUCGUGAUCUCACGCUUCCUGCGGUGCGGGUGCCCUGCAUCCGUUGGUAAUUAGCCAGGGCGUAGUAAUUGCACGUGGGGAUGGUCGUUAGCCUUGAGUGCGCUGACUGCCGUGUCCCACGGGGUGUGCCUUGAGUAAAUCAGAGUGCUUAAAGCAGGCUUUAGCUUGAAUGUUGAUAGCAUGGAACGAACAAUCGUGUAUAGAGUGCGCUGGUACCGGUCGGUGGUUUUUUCCGCCGACUGCAGCGCACGACACCGACCACCAAUUACGGAUGUUGGUUCCGUAUUGGGGUACUGAUAGAGAGCGUGGGGGCAUGUAUUGCACAGAGGGUGAGUAGUAUAUAUAUAUUAACGACCGUGCUGGAC